Molecule: ribosomal RNA, 460 nt
Filed under: uncultured bacterium
Lineage: Bacteria
Description: partial 16S ribosomal RNA
Rfam family: Bacterial small subunit ribosomal RNA
Source: RNAcentral
CCUACGGGGGGCAGCAGUGAGGAAUAUUGGUCAAUGGACGCAAGUCUGAACCAGCCAUGCCGCGUGCAGGAAGACGGCUCUAUGAGUUGUAAACUGCUUUUGUACGAGGGUAAACGCAGAUACGCGUAUCUGUCUGAAAGUAUCGUACGAAUAAGGAUCGGCUAACUCCGUGCCAGCAGCCGCGGUAAUACGGAGGAUUCAAGCGUUAUCCGGAUUUAUUGGGUUUAAAGGGUGCGUAGGCGGUCGGAUAAGUUAGAGGUGAAAUCCCGAGGCUCAACUUCGGAAGUGCCUCUGAUACUGUUCGGCUAGAGAGUAGUUGCGGUAGGCGGAAUGUAUGGUGUAGCGGUGAAAUGCUUAGAGAUCAUACAGAACACCGAUUGCGAAGGCAGCUUACCAAGCUACUUCUGACGUUGAGGCACGAAAGCGUGGGGAGCGAACAGGAUUAGAUACCCUAGUAGUC